This 253-nucleotide ribosomal RNA is filed under the name uncultured bacterium. Its description in RNAcentral is "partial 16S ribosomal RNA". It matches the Rfam family "Bacterial small subunit ribosomal RNA", at positions 524 to 776 of the family's 1533-position model. The record is from RNAcentral.
GACGGAGGAUGCAAGCGUUAUCCGGAAUUAUUGGGCGUAAAGCGUCCGCAGGUGGACAUACAAGUCUGCUGUCAAAGUGCAGAGCUUAACUCUGUAAAGGCGGUGGAAACCGUAGGUCUUGAGUAUGGUAGGGGUAGAGGGAAUUCCCGGUGUAGCGGUGAAAUGCGUAGAUAUCGGGAAGAACACCAGUGGCGAAAGCGCUCUACUGGGCCAUAACUGACACUGAGGAGCGAAAGCAUGGGGAGCGAACAGG